This 300-nucleotide ribosomal RNA is filed under the name uncultured Thermosulfurimonas sp. Its description in RNAcentral is "bacterial SSU rRNA". It matches the Rfam family "Bacterial small subunit ribosomal RNA", at positions 495 to 795 of the family's 1533-position model. The record is from RNAcentral. Lineage: Bacteria; Pseudomonadati; Thermodesulfobacteriota; Thermodesulfobacteria; Thermodesulfobacteriales; Thermodesulfobacteriaceae.
AGGUGACGGGGGGCGUGAGCUGCUGGAGUACGGAGGGGGGAAGCUUUAUCCGGAGUUAUUGGGUUUAAAGGGUCCGUAGGCGGACUUAUAAGUCAGUGGUGAAAGCCUGUCGCUUAACGAUAGAACUGCCAUUGAUACUGUAAGUCUUGAGUAUAUUUGAGGUAGCUGGAAUAAGUAGUGUAGCGGUGAAAUGCAUAGAUAUUACUUAGAACACCAAUUGCGAAGGCAGGUUACCAAGAUAUAACUGACGCUGAGGGACGAAAGCGUGGGGAGCGAACAGGAUUAGAUACCCUUGUAGUC